This 672-nucleotide long non-coding RNA is filed under the name Homo sapiens (human). RNAcentral's name for it is "non-protein coding lnc-ZNF396-1:1". Lineage: Eukaryota; Metazoa; Chordata; Mammalia; Primates; Hominidae. The record is from RNAcentral.
AUGCCCAAGGAAAAGAAGGCCAAGGGGAAGAAGACGACCCCAGCCCCUGCUGUCUGAAAGUAGCAGGAGGCUAAGAAGGUGGUAAAUCCCUUGUUUGAGAAAAGGCCUAAGAAUUUUGGCAUUGGACAGGACAUUCAGCCCCAAAGGGACCUCACUUGCUUUGUCAAAUGGCCCAGCUAUAUCUGAUUGCAGCGGCAAAGGGCUAUCCCCUAUGAGCAGCAGAAAAUGCCUCCUGUGAUUAACUAGUUUACCCAGACUUCAGACUGCCAACAAGCUCCUUAAUUAACUCGGGCUGGCCCACAAGUACAGACCAGAGACAAAGCAAGAGAAGCAGAGGCUGUUGUCGUGGGCUGGGAAGACAGCUGCCAGCAAAGGGGAUGUCUCCACUAAGAGGUCACCUGUCCUUCCAGCAGGGUUAAGACUGUCACCACCUGGGUGGAGAAUGAAAAGUCUCAGUUGUUGGUGACUGCACAUGAUGUGGAUCCUGUAGAGCUGGCUGUCUUCCCUCCUGCCCUGUGUCAUAAGAUAGGGGGUCCUUACUGCAUUAUCAAGGGUGAGGCAAGAUUGGGGUAUCUAGUCCACAGGGAGACCUGCACCACUGUCACCUUCACACGGUCUAACUCAGAUGACAAAGCUUUGACUAAGCUAGCAGAAGCUAGCAGGACUAAUUAU